GUAGAUAAUAAAAGUUGAACAUUUGCUGGUGUUAAAGACUCAUUCCCUCUGCCUCUUUCAGCUGUUUCAAACAAGACUUUUGCCUUUGGGCUUCAAUCUGAUUCAAACGGACGAGAGCUCGAUUCCCCUGAAAGUCUGGACUUUAUUUCGGGUGUGAAUAAAGACAAACAAACUCUGAUCUGGACCAAACCAGUCCGUUUCCAAAUGGGGCUGACAUAAUAAUCAAAUGAACAGAGCAUGGAUCAGAGAGAGCACAGAGAGGACGGAGCCCCUCCCACUAAAACAAUCACUC
Molecule: long non-coding RNA, 292 nt
Organism: Boleophthalmus pectinirostris (great blue-spotted mudskipper)
Lineage: Eukaryota; Metazoa; Chordata; Actinopteri; Gobiiformes; Gobiidae
Exons: 3
Source: RefSeq, a predicted model, not a curated record